Molecule: non-coding RNA, 140 nt
Organism: Bacillus smithii
Lineage: Bacteria; Bacillati; Bacillota; Bacilli; Caryophanales; Bacillaceae
Source: Rfam
AAGAACAAGCAGAAGCAAGCCCGCUUCUCACCUGAACUGACGCCUAUAAGCUGUUGGCAGGUUAAACGGAGUCAAUCGAAAUCAUAUGGCUUGAUCCAUUUUUAUGCGGGUUUUCUGUAUACCCGCAUUUUUUUAUGCUU